Molecule: unclassified non-coding RNA, 254 nt
Filed under: Patescibacteria group bacterium
Lineage: Bacteria
Description: contains 16S-23S intergenic spacer region
Rfam family: Bacterial small subunit ribosomal RNA
Source: RNAcentral
UACGGAGUACCCAAGCGUUACCCGGAAUCACUGGGCGUAAAGAGUUGCGUAGGCGGUUAUUUAAGUGGAACGUGAAAUCUUACGGCUCAACCGUAAGGCUAUGUUCCAAACUGGAUAACUUGAGAAUGGCAGAGGUAAGUGGAAUUAGCGGUGUAGGAGUGAAAUCCGUAGAUAUCGCUAGGAACACCAAUGGCGAAGGCAGCUUACUGGGCCAUUUCUGACGCUAAGGCACAAAAGCGUGGGGAGCGAACCGG